CUCUAGCCUAGGGGACAAGAGUGAGACUUCGUCUCAAGAAAAAAAAAACCAACCAUGUGACCUUCAAGUCACUUGUUCCUGUUUUUGAAAUAGCAUGCUGAGGGAUUUGGUCAUAUCAUUAGCCCAGACAUAGCCUGACAAGACCAGCCCUUGUGUAAUAAGAUUGGUUUGAGGUAGGAACUGUACUUGCUUUGUAGGAUGGGCAAGAGGAGACUCCAGGCUCUGGAUGGGAAGCUGAAGGCUGACCAAGGGUGGAUGAGAAAGAGGGCCUGCAAAGGGGACUCCACAGAGGCCACACGCGGGACAAGAGCAGCACCCGACUCCAGGCUGCAUCCAUCGUAUGGAGGUCUGUGGUCAUUUCGCCCAUUCACCUUUCUCCUCUGGAGAACCCAAACCCCAGAAACCAGAGGGAAUCGACUGCUGCUUCUCAGUGUACAGCAGAUCUUUUCCAAGGUUACGUGAGGUGUGAUAUCGCAGCAAAUAGCAUGCAGAAGCAGAUAUCACAGUCCAACUGUCUAACAGUCCAACUGGCAGAGAAGUAAUGCUUCUAGCAGUUGAGAGCAGCCACGUCGAGAUUGGAGAAGUCAAUGAACCCAGUGCUAGAUGGCGGCUACUAAAGGUGGAGAUGUCCUGCCAAUAUCAAGAUACAGGACUGCAGUGGUGGCCAAAUAGUAAAAGCAGAUAACAGGGGAUGUGAAAUCACUGCGUCUUCAACCGCCAGGUUGUAAAGCUUCGAGUCAUUUGUAAAGGACCAAAGUUUCCUACAUUUUCUCCAGCAUUUUCCUUUAACCAUGACUAUCCUGGACUCCUGCUACGAGGUUUGCUAUUAUUUGGAUGACGAGAGAAGGCAGAGUAGGGCAGAGUCUAAUAUUCCCAUUACUCUCAGGAUAACCGAGGCAUUCCCUGGAGCCCACCCUCCAGAAGCCAGAACAAUGAGACCUGCAAGCCCAGUUGGGGUCUCCAGGGAUUCGAUCUUUUGCACAGUGCUUUUGACUUAAGACAUUUUCAUUGCAAAGUGAGUAAGCGGGCUGUAUAUAGCUCUGUAAUUAGCCAGGUUGUCCAAUGCUGCCCAGGGCCCUUUAGAGUUCUGCCUCCGACCUUCCCUUGUAUAUGCACUCACUCAGUCCAGUGUCCUCAGAUACAGUGCCCUCACUUCAUGCCUAGUUUUUCUCUCCCUCCACUGGCGUGCUUCUCAUCUGGUCUGGCACCUUACUCAAGCUUUGGCUUCAAUUCUGUCAUUUAAUCGUCCAUGACUCUGUGCUGUGCAGCUCACAGGCCAAGCCAGCCCUGCUCUUCGCCUAAACGCAUCUCCAGCUCCAGGAAUCUGUUUGGAACUUCAAGCCGCUUCCUUGUUGGGUGGAGUGGUUUGGACAUGGACCAAUUCUAACUACGGGCAUUCUCCAACAGUACCGAGCUUCCUCCCAUCGCGCCCAAGUUCAACACCUUCCCAAACAGAAGGAAAAUGAUUCACUGAUUCAGUGUGCCUGACAAAAACAAUCAGUACAUAAGAGAACUUUUGAUACUGCUACUGAACCGUAAGGAGAAUCAUCCCCUGUAUUAGCCAAACUAAUUAAAAUCUGUCAGCUAUGCCAUAAUAAAUAAAUUAUAAAUUAAAACAUUAA
This is a non-coding RNA of Macaca mulatta (Rhesus monkey), 1622 nucleotides long. The record is from RefSeq and is a predicted model, not a curated record. Lineage: Eukaryota; Metazoa; Chordata; Mammalia; Primates; Cercopithecidae.